Diorhabda sublineata is the source of this 3234-nucleotide long non-coding RNA. RefSeq lists it as uncharacterized. Lineage: Eukaryota; Metazoa; Arthropoda; Insecta; Coleoptera; Chrysomelidae. The transcript is spliced from 3 exons. The record is from RefSeq and is a predicted model, not a curated record.
GUAAACGUAGUGCAAUAUUCAGGAGUUGAACUAGAAGCAGAUUGAAACCUAGAGACGGAAAUAAAUAGAAGAAUUGAAAAUGCCAACAGAGUAUAUUAUGCUCUGGUUAAUAGAUUCAUAAAUAAAAGAGAAAUAUCCAGAAAAACCGAAAUUGUAGUAGUAUUUCGAACUAUAUUUAGGCCCAUACUAUUGUAUGGCUGAGAAUCGUGGAUACUACAUCAGCAACAAACAAGUAGAAUACAAGCUACAAAGAUGAAAUAUUUGGAAAGUGACAGGAAAGAGUAGAAUUACAGAAUUCGAUUGGUUCCGGUAAAUGGAGAAUAAUUGUGAAAAAUUAUUGAAAUACUCUCUGCUGAUACAAUAGGAAAUGGAAAAUUCACAAUAAUAUGUCCACGGAUAUCGCAACAUAGCAACAAAAUGCAUUAUUAAUGAAUCACAGUGGGUGACAAUGGUCCUCUAUCUUGGGAAAGUCAGUCAACAGAAAAAGUUCAAAAGCAGGGGUACGCAUUAGAAUUUUAAGGAGAGCCGAUUUCCUUCAUUCCAUUAGAGUUGAAGAUCUUAGUUUGUAAUGGUGAAUUGAUAUGAUUACUAGCGUCGUAAGAAUAUCUGAGAUAGUAUUUAGAAAUUUUAAUUUAAGGAAAGCAUUGAAUAAAACAAUGUUAAAUAAGGAGAUAUAAAAGAAAGUAAUAGUUAGCGUAUACAAUACAAUAACAGUUCCAGCACUAACGUAUGGAAGUACCCAAGAAAAAUAGGAAGAAGCACUAGAAUGGAUAGAAUGAAAUUAUAAGAAAUAACUGCCAACAAGAAACAAUUGAAAAAAUAACAAAUAAGAGAAUCUUACAACUGGUUUGGACAUUUAACAAUGAUGGAACUACGUAAAAACCUAAUAAAUUACUAAACUAACAUAAAUCAUUCCUGGCUUCUUGAUGUUGAUAAUUGGAGUAGUGGAGAGUUACCUAUUUUGGAAUAGUAAUAACUGAAACAAAUUUUCUAUAUUUCCGUUUGCGAUCCUAUAUCUGUGUUUGUGUUUUAAAUCAUAUAAUCUGUUGAAAGUUGACUUGCAACAUAUUUAGUGGUGAAACGCAUACAUUCAAUUAUAUAUAGAAAUUUAUCGUGAUCAACAGUUCCCAAAAGUCAUAUUGAACCGUUUUCUUUUAUUUUUCUUCAAAAAAGAGCUGAAUAUUCCUGCAUAUCAAUUAAUCUUUGGGCUUUAAGACCAAAAUUAUAAAUGAGCUACGUUGUCAGUUGUUAUAGCUUUCGGACUCUCUACUAAGCGAAAUGAUAUCUUUUGAUACCAUUGAACCACAUCAUGAUGUCCCAAUUUAGGUCUGAAUACAACUGUGUCAAUCCAGAUACAUCUUAUCUUCAUUUAGAUUUCUUUCAAAUAGAAUUUCAACACUAGAAAAACUAGAAUCUCCAACAAAUAUAUUUAAAUUGAUAAUUUUGUUGUCUCUUUGUAUUCUUCUUGAUGUAUGAUUAACAAAAGUCAUAGUAUCGAUGAGGUACUUUUUUUACAUACCAAUUGGAAUUAUAAAUUACUCAAGUUUUUUUUACCUUUUGAGACAAAAACGAAGUGAUUUUGUAACGAAAAAUAAAAAAUAUCUCUCCUCACUUUUUACGACUCAGAGGAAAAGUAUAUCUCCGUAUUGAGAAAUAAGUUCUUUCAAAAGCUCUGUGGUUUCAAAGAGAAAAUAUUUUUCAUGUCAAUUUACGACAUUCAAAGACUUUACUAUUACCUAAUAAUCCGAACAACGAGGUUUGCUCAGUUAUAGGAAUCAUCCUUAAAAGUCUUCUUUGCCAUAACCGUUUUUUUGUGAUAUAUUUAGAAAAAAUAAUAAUGUAAGAAUAAAUUUUCAAUUUGUUGGCGAAUCCAGAGCAAGACUAAAAUAUUAGUUCAUAAUUAAUUGAUGCAUUGACCGUUGGAUAAUAUAGUCGUUUCAUGCAAAUUAGAUAAGAUAAUGGUAGUUUUGUUAUUCUUCCUUGGUUUGUUUACUAUUUGGUAAAUAUGCCAGCAUUGUUUUGCUAAUAGUGAAAACGCACUCUAGAUCAAUACCUGUCAAUGAUUUAAUCUUACUUGCUGUAAUUUCAGUUUCAUAAUAAGAUGGUUUGCGAGUCAGCUCGUAUUUGUCAAUUUCACUAAAAACUGUGUUCCCUUCAAAAUCAAAUUAAUUCGUCACCACGCCAUUUCUCAAUUCUUAUUUCUAUAUUCGUUGGUAGCAAAUUGUGGAUAAACCGUUGAAUAGUGUAUAUACAAUUUACAUCUUUUGUAUCCGUUUACUAUUUAUUUUAAGCCAUAUCAAACACAAAGAAAUUCUUUCGUUUUCAUGUGUAACAAAGAGAAAUUUUGUUCCGACUUCCGAUUUUCCGCUCCGAGUUUCCGAGUUUACUAUUUAAAUGUAUAUAUUGAUGUGAUGUUCAAUCUAAACAAACUCAGACUGACACGAUUUAUGGUUUUGUAGAGUUUUUGACAAAAUGUGAAUAAAAAACAAGUGAAUUGGAAUAUGUGAAGUAAAAUAAAAGUCAAGAUAAAAAUACUUAAUAUCACAAGCAGGGUCGCCAACAGCUCAGAACGAAAAAACUUAGUUUCCGCAGACAGCCGCUACAAAAAUAUCUGUAGAGUCUGGAUUUUUCAACAAUUUACAUUAUUUAUGUGAAAGAAAUUAUCACAAAGUAGACCCAAACUUUCUCGUAAAACAUGAAGUCGCUGACAAAGCAUGGGCUUUGUAAAAAUGUCUGUGAGUUGGUACUCGGUCCCAAUGUGCUCCACAGCUAGCAUUUUUUUCUUGAUUCAAUCUCUCAAAAUCUGGUUUUCAAUGAGCUUUUUGGCAGAUUUAUCGUCAAUUUUGAUAAUAGGAGCAUCAGAAAUUCCUAUCAGCUCUUUGAACAGCCGAGAAAUCUAAAUGGUCUCCUUUGAACUAAGAUUUGAUGCGACAAUUUUGGCUACACAGGUAGAAUAAGUAACUUUGACGGCGGCUUAGCCAAGUUAAAGCUGCAUCUAUAAAUUUUACGAUCACUCCAUUUGUUGAACGCAUAUUGUAUAGGCACCCAGCAAAAUCAACAUCACUGUAUAUUUUGAUUUUUAAAUAAAAAUAUAUUUUAAAUAUUUUUUGCAAAUGUAGAAAAUAAUCUAGCCAUAGGCCUUCAAGGCCUGAAGUAGUGGUUUGUGUUGAAUACCCAUGGCUUUAUUAUUUUUACAAUUAAAACAUUUACAAAAUAUAUAUUUCUCAAUCUGCA